UGGCGACCGGCGCACGGGUGAGUAACGCGUAUCCAACCUGCCCUUUACUAUGGGACAGCCCGUCGAAAGGCGGAUUAAUACCGUAUGUUGUCAUGUUGAUGCAUAUUUUCAUGACCAAAGGCUUCGGCCGGUAAAGGAUGGGGAUGCGUCUGAUUAGCUUGCCGGCGGGGUAACGGCCCACCGGGGCGGCGAUCAGUAGGGGUUCUGAGAGGAAGGUCCCCCACAUUGGAACUGAGACACGGUCCAAACUCCUACGGGAGGCAGCAG
Molecule: ribosomal RNA, 267 nt
Filed under: uncultured bacterium
Lineage: Bacteria
Description: partial 16S ribosomal RNA
Rfam family: Bacterial small subunit ribosomal RNA
Source: RNAcentral